This 593-nucleotide long non-coding RNA is filed under the name Coturnix japonica (Japanese quail). RNAcentral's name for it is "lncRNA (ENSCJPG00005006929.1)". Lineage: Eukaryota; Metazoa; Chordata; Aves; Galliformes; Phasianidae. The record is from RNAcentral.
AUGUAUUUUUUAUGUCACCUGACUCUUUUUGUCUCUUUCUUAAACUGGUGCUUUCACCGAGCAAUCCUCAUCUACUCUUCUCCACAUGGCAUGAACACUAGGAAAAUCAACAUUUGGCUUUCAAGAACCACUCUGAGGUCCUCCUUGUUCCACGUUCUCAAAGUUUCUUCAGUAAAGUCACAAAGGGACCCCGAGAGAGAGGAACAGAAAAAACAGGCAGAGUUGCUGGGGAGGGAAUGAAGAAAAGCCUCUUCAGUGGUAGAGAUAUGAGAAGUUCUUCCUAGGCAUAUUUUUUCUCUCUUAUUUAUGUCAGUCACAAUUCUGUUGAUGAACUAUUACUGUUCAGAUACAACAUGCUUAGCAGAGCAAAGGAUUCAUCAAGAUUGAAUUGAAAUGUAUGUAUAUUUUGUAAAUUGAAAUGUAUGUAUAUUUUUACCUUUUCUAAAGUGAUUGGAAAUACAGUUGCUUUCUGAAAUGCAGCAGCAUUCAUUUUUCAGGAUGCUACUGUGAAUAAGGGUUAAGUUAAGUGGAGCUUGAAAAAGUCAACCACAUUAUUUUCUCCUAGAGAAUUUAUCUUUAUGUGAGGUCCUGAA